UACAGAGGGUGCGAGCGUUAAUCGGAAUUACUGGGCGUAAAGCGCACGUAGGCGGCUUGGUAUGUCGGGUGUGAAAUCCCCGGGCUCAACCUGGGAACUGCAUCCGAAACUGCCUUGCUAGAGUAUGGGAGAGGGAAGUGGAAUUUCCGGUGUAGCGGUGAAAUGCGUAGAUAUCGGGAGGAACACCAGUGGCGAAGGCGACUCUCUGGCCUGUAACUGACGCUGAGGCGCGAAAGCGUGGGUAGCGAACAGG
Molecule: ribosomal RNA, 253 nt
Filed under: uncultured bacterium
Lineage: Bacteria
Description: partial 16S ribosomal RNA
Rfam family: Bacterial small subunit ribosomal RNA
Source: RNAcentral